UCGCUUCAGGAGGAGCCUACGUCCUAUCAGGUAGUUGGUAGAGUAAUAGCCUACCAAGCCAAUAACGGGUAGCCGGUGUGAGAGCAUGACCGGCCACAAGGUUACUGAGACACGGAGCCU
Molecule: ribosomal RNA, 120 nt
Filed under: uncultured bacterium
Lineage: Bacteria
Description: partial 16S ribosomal RNA
Rfam family: Bacterial small subunit ribosomal RNA
Source: RNAcentral